RNAcentral lists this ribosomal RNA (1203 nucleotides) under Bacillus subtilis. Its description in RNAcentral is "bacterial SSU rRNA". The record is from RNAcentral. Lineage: Bacteria; Bacillati; Bacillota; Bacilli; Caryophanales; Bacillaceae.
CAACGGGUUUUAAGAUUUUUUCUGCUCAGACGACGCUGGCGGGUGCUAAUACAUGCAAGUCGAGCGGACAGAUGGAGCUUGCUCCUGAUGUAGCGGACGGGUGAGUACACGUGGGUAACUGCUGUAAGACUGGAUACUCGGGAAACCGGGCUAAUACCGGAUGGUUGUUUGAACCGCAUGGUCAAACAUAAAAGGUGGCUUCGCUACCACUUACAGAUGACCCGCGGCGCAUUAGCUAGUUGGUGAGGUAACGCUCACCAAGGCGACGAUGCGUAGCCGACUGAGAGGGUGAUCGGCCACACUGGGACUGAGACACGGCCCAGACUCUACGGGAGGCAGCAGUAGGGAAUCUUCCGCAAUGGACGAAAGUCUGACGGAGCAACGCCGCGUGAGUGAUGAAGGUUUUCGGAUCGUAAAGCUCUGUUGUUAGGGAAGAACAAGUACCGUUCGAAUAGGGCGGUACCUUGACGGUACCUAACCAGAAAGCCACGGCUAACUACGUGCCAGCAGCCGCGGUAAUACGUAGGUGGCAACGUGUCGGAUAUUGGGCGUAAGGGCUCGCAGGCGGUUUCUUAAGUCUGAUGUGAAAGCCCCCGGCUCAACCGGGGAGGGUCAUUGGAAACUGGGGAACUUGAGUGCAGAAGAGGAGAGUGGAAUUCCACGUGUAGCGGUGAAAUGCGUAGAGAUGUGGAGGAACACCAGUGGCGAAGGCGACUCUCUGGUCUGUAACUGACGCUGAGGAGCGAAAGCGUGGGGAGCGAACAGGAUUAGAUACCCUGGUAGUCCACGCCGUAAACGAUGAGUGCUAAGUGUUAGGGGGUUUCCGCCCCUUAGUGCUGCAGCUAACGCAUAAGCACUCCGCCUGGAUAUCGGUCGCAAGACUGAAACUCAAAGGAAUUGACGGGGGCCCGCACAAGCGGUGGAGCAUGUGGUUUAAUUCGAAGCAACGCGAAGAACCUUACCAGGUCUUGACAUCCUCUGACAAUCCUAGAGAUAGGACGUCCCCUUCGGGGRGCAGAGUGACAGGUGGUGCAUGGUUGUCGUCAGCUCGUGUCGUGAGAUGUUGGGUUAAGUCCCGCAACGAGCGCAACCCUUGAUCUUAGUUGCCAGCAUUCAGUUGGGCACUCUAAUGUGACUGCCGGUGACAAACCGGGAGGAAGUGGGGGAUGACGUCAAAUCAUCAUGCCCUUAUGACCUGGGCUA